Molecule: non-coding RNA, 70 nt
Organism: Psammomys obesus (fat sand rat)
Lineage: Eukaryota; Metazoa; Chordata; Mammalia; Rodentia; Muridae
Source: the annotation of a RefSeq genome assembly
GUUAAUGUAGCUUAAUCCCCUAAAGCAAAGCACUGAAAAUGCUCAGAUGGACACUCUAGUCCCAUAAACA